CGAAUCCGCGCGGGAGAGACCGAGUCGAUAACCGUUGAGCUCGGCGCCGAAGGAGCAAGUCCUCCCCGGAACCUCUCAGGCACCCUGGACCGCGCGGAAGAG
Molecule: non-coding RNA, 102 nt
Filed under: Amycolatopsis orientalis
Lineage: Bacteria; Bacillati; Actinomycetota; Actinomycetes; Pseudonocardiales; Pseudonocardiaceae
Also listed under: 1 other name
Description: Glycine sequence
Rfam family: Glycine riboswitch aptamer
About the family: This family represents the bacterial glycine riboswitch.
Source: RNAcentral